AGUGAACGCUGGCGGUAGGCCUAACACAUGCAAGUCGAACGGCAGCACAGGAGAGCUUGCUCUCUGGGUGGCGAGUGGCGGACGGGUGAGGAAUACAUCGGAAUCUACUCUGUCGCGGGGGAUAACGUAGGGGAACUUACGCUAAUAUCGCUUACGACCUACGGGAGAAAGACGGGGAUCUUCGGACCUUGCUCGAAUGAAUGAGUCGGUGUCGGUUUAGCUAGUUGGGAGGGUAAAGGCCCACCAAGGCGGCGAUCCGUAGCUGGUCUGAGGGGAUGAACAACCACACUGGAAGUGAGACUCGGGCGAGACUCCUACGGUAGGCAGCAGUGGAGAAUAUUGGACAAUGGGCGCAAGCCUGAUCCAGCCAUACCGCGUGGGUGAAGAAGGCCUUCGGGUUGUAAAGCCCUUUUGUUGGGAAAGAAAUCCAGCUGGCUAAUACCCGGUUGGGAUGACGGUACCCAAAGAAUAAGCACCGGCUAACUUCGUACCAGCCGCCGCGGUAA
RNAcentral lists this ribosomal RNA (506 nucleotides) under uncultured bacterium. RNAcentral describes it as "partial 16S ribosomal RNA". It matches the Rfam family "Bacterial small subunit ribosomal RNA", at positions 29 to 523 of the family's 1533-position model. The record is from RNAcentral.